Pangasianodon gigas (Mekong giant catfish) is the source of this 77-nucleotide non-coding RNA. Lineage: Eukaryota; Metazoa; Chordata; Actinopteri; Siluriformes; Pangasiidae. The record is from the annotation of a GenBank genome assembly.
AAGGUUUCUUCUUCAUAUGGUCUCAGGGAGUUUUUCCUUGUCACUGUCGCCUCUGGCUUGCUCAUUAGGGAUAAAUU